This 560-nucleotide ribosomal RNA is filed under the name uncultured archaeon. Its description in RNAcentral is "bacterial SSU rRNA". It matches the Rfam family "Archaeal small subunit ribosomal RNA", at positions 85 to 648 of the family's 1478-position model. The record is from RNAcentral.
ACGGCUCAGUAACACGUGGACAAUUUACCCUUGGGACCAGGAUAACCCCUGGGGAAACUGGGGCUAAUACUGGAUGGAGCAUCGGCUGCUGGAAUGCGCGAUGCUCGAAAGCUGAGGCGCCCAAGGGUAGGUCUGCGGCUGAUUAGGUUGUUGUUGAUGUAACGGAUCAACAAGCCCGCGAUCGGUACGGGUUGUGAGAGCAAUAGCCCGGAGAUGGGUUCUGAGAAAAGAACCCAGGUCCUACGGGACGCAUCAGGCGCGAAAACUUUACAAUGUGCGAAAGCGCGAUAAGGGAACUCUGAGUGCCUCCUAAGGAGGCUGUUCAGGUGUCUAAAAAGCAUCUGGAGUAAGGGCUGGGCAAGACCGGUGCCAGCCGCCGCGGUAACACCGGCAGCUCAAGUGGUAGCCAUGCUUAUUGGGUCUAAAGCGUCCGUAGCCGGCUGAGUAAGUUCCUUGGGAAAUUUGACCGCUUAACGGUUAAGCUAUCAGGGAAUACUGCUUGGCUUGGGACCGGGAGAGGUCAGAGGUACUCCAGGGGUAGGGGUGAAAUCUAUUAAUCC